UACAGAGGGUGCUAGCGUUAAUCGGCUUUACUGGGCGUAAAGCGUGCGUAGGCGGUUUGUUAAGUCGGUUGUGAAAGCCCCGGGCUCAACCUGGGACUUGCAGUCGAUACUGGCAGACUAGAGAACGGUAGAGGGAGGCGGAACUCCAGGUGUAGCGGUGAAAUGCGUAGAUAUCUGGAAGAACACCGAUGGCGAAGGCAACCUCCUGGGCCUGUUCUGACGCUGAGGCACGAAAGCGUGGGUAGCAAACAGG
Molecule: ribosomal RNA, 253 nt
Filed under: uncultured bacterium
Lineage: Bacteria
Description: partial 16S ribosomal RNA
Rfam family: Bacterial small subunit ribosomal RNA
Source: RNAcentral